This 504-nucleotide ribosomal RNA is filed under the name uncultured bacterium. Its description in RNAcentral is "bacterial SSU rRNA". It matches the Rfam family "Bacterial small subunit ribosomal RNA", at positions 28 to 506 of the family's 1533-position model. The record is from RNAcentral.
GACGAACGCUGGCGGCGUGCCUAAUACAUGCAAGUUGAACGCUUGAUUUUCACCGAAGCUUGCUUCACCGAAAAUCAAGAGUAGCGAACGGGUGAGUAACGCGUGGGUAACCUACCUUUCAGCGGGGGAUAACUAUUGGAAACGAUAGCUAAUACCGCAUAACAAUGUUGGAUGCAUAUUCGACAUUUGAAAGUAUCAAUUGGUACACUGAGAGAUGGACCCGCGUUGUAUUAGCUAGUUGGUAGUGUAAUGGACUACCAAGGCGAUGAUACAUAGCCGACCUGAGAGGGUGAUCGGCCACAUUGGGACUGAGACACGGCCCAAACUCCUACGGGAGGCAGCAGUAGGGAAUCUUCGGCAAUGGACGAAAGUCUGACCGAGCAACGCCGCGUGAGUGAAGAAGGUUUUCGGAUCGUAAAACUCUGUUGUUAGAGAAGAACGUUGCAUAGAGUGGAAAAUUAUGCAAGUGACGGUAUCUAACCAGAAAGGGACGGCUAACUACGG